Anas platyrhynchos (mallard) is the source of this 994-nucleotide long non-coding RNA. RefSeq lists it as uncharacterized. The record is from RefSeq and is a predicted model, not a curated record. Lineage: Eukaryota; Metazoa; Chordata; Aves; Anseriformes; Anatidae.
CAUUGUAUGAGGACCUCACCUUCUAAAGGUUUCCUCCCAAGAGAGCUGACGUGAUGACUGCUGAACUGCAGCAUUACACUGCUUUCUGCUAAAAGAGACCAACUGACAUUUACCUUUACGUGACCUUACAUGAAGAGCUUUAAACACCACAGCUUUAAACCACAGAACUCUGAAAAACAAAAACAGGAUGUCUGCUGUUAAAACUGGCGCUGUGUAUAUUUUUCCUGAGACUGUGCUAUCUGGGACCAGCUUGGUGUAAUCUUUCAAUAUAGUCCAUUGGCCAAAUUCUCUUUCCUGCUGGAAGGUUAACUCUGGUGUGCAUCACAGAAAAUAUUUUCAUGGUCAAUAGUUGUUGUCAUCACAAUCUGCAUAACAUGAAGACCAGAUGGAGGCAAAAAAAAUUCAAGGCUGAGAAAGUUAUGUUCACUGCUCUCCUUCACUCUUGCAAAGUUCCAGUACAGCAAAGGAGAGUCCAGAAAGAGACAAAUAUCAUUUGCAAAACUUCAUCUUAGUAACAACAAUAGCAAAAAAAUGAAUCACAUAUAGUGGAUGCUCUCCCAGACUCAACAAAAGGUAUCCAUUGCUCCUUAGUAAAGCAUACCAUGUCUCUUAUGGUGGCAGAACCUUUGCUCCUUUUGUUCCAGAAUCUCCUUUCAGUCUUGAAUAAUCAACAAACACUGGAUUUCCUGCAUGUGACAACUCCAGUUAGUAGUAGAAUGCACAAGUUAAUAGUCCCUGCCUCUAGUUUACUAUAGAUUGAAAUGCAGAGUCAAGGGCCAACAGAAUUUAUUCCUUUGUAAAGACAAACAUGUACCAAGGAAAACAAAAAGGUACAAACAGAAGACUCCAAAACGUAUGCAAGAUGAUGCCUCAACAACUUCCACAUUAAGGUUUCAUGUCCUAAGUCACCCUACAGGCCUUAUGUUGGAAGCAGUGGUGUUUUGUGUCACAGUUAGUUCUGUCCUGGGGAGGGUUCCUUCUCAGCCAAAUGAAC